Long non-coding RNA from Poecilia latipinna (sailfin molly), 1118 nucleotides. RefSeq lists it as uncharacterized. The record is from RefSeq and is a predicted model, not a curated record. The transcript has 2 exons. Lineage: Eukaryota; Metazoa; Chordata; Actinopteri; Cyprinodontiformes; Poeciliidae.
AAGGUGAGGGAAGUAGGGGUGCAAUGAAGGUCAAAACGUUGGUACCGUUCCAUCAUGGCUUCCCAGCUCACAGGCGGUUAAGAGAAGGGAAGGAUUCGCUGGCGAGGUUAGCGAUGUAGCUAGCGGGUAAAGUGUUAGCUGCCCAGAACCCAAAGAGAGUGAAGGACAAGUCCAAGCCAAGAGGGAGCGAGAGAGAGAGUGAGGAGAGGUGGGGGGGAGAGAUGGAGAAGCUUUGGGGAUGAUUCAAGAUUAAGGGAUAAGUAAGAGGAGGUGGAAUCAUUGGAAAGAAAAAUGAAAAAGGUUCAAUUUUUUUUCCCAUGGGGGAAAAAAAAGAAAGUAAUUUCACAAGGGAAAAAUACUUUAAGAGCAUUAAGAAGCAUCCAGGUUUCAGAGAAGAGGGAGUAUUGAGGUUAGUGGUUAUUGUGGAGAGGAGUGGUGAAUCUUUCUGGGUAAAGAUAACAGCCUUAUUUUGUAUUUGUGUGUGUGUGUGUGUGUGUGUGUGUCUGUGUGUGUGUGUGUGUGUGUGUGUGGAUGCAGCUGUGUGUGUGGCUGUAGCGUUUGCGGUGAAAGGGAUCAGAGGAACAUAUGGUUAAUGCGUCCUGUUAAUGCUGAUGUCUUUUCUGUGAGGGCCGAUCCACGCUGUGUGUCGUGAGCCACAGGAUGGGUGUAGCGACAGUUUCAAUGAUUUCUGCCCACACAUGAAAACAUACAGCCCCAUUUUUUAUGUAUCAUAACACAAAAUGGAUUUAGGCUUGGAAAAUAUGUAUUUAAUUGGUGUCAUUCUCUUAUGUGUACGUAUACAUUCAGAAGGUACAUGAGUGGAGCUGAGUGGUAGGUCCAAGUUGUUGUUAUUAUUAGCCUUGUGCUAAAAACUCCUCUUAUGGGUCCAUUUUGAAAUGACAUAUUUAAAUUACGCUUCUGGACAGAACCAAGAAGUCUUAAAGAAAUUAACAUCCAGUAAGAAACAAAGUAACUCAGCCGUGGUGUAGUCUUCCAACGAACAAACGCUACAUUGAUCAACUGGUCGGCAAAGUUUUACUUUAAAAAGCACUUGAUUAAAAUUACUCCGUCAAACAACUUAUUUUAAAAAAAAAAAGUUCACAAUGAGAAGGUAAAAG